RNA transcript from Sapajus apella (tufted capuchin), 3056 nucleotides. It is a transcript of the gene named chromosome unknown C6orf201 homolog, with no coding region annotated. NCBI's taxonomy places the organism in Eukaryota, Metazoa, Chordata, Mammalia, Primates, Cebidae. The record is from RefSeq and is a predicted model, not a curated record. The transcript has 8 exons.
GUAUUCGCGGGCCGCGGGGUAGCCGGCGGCCGCCCAGGCGCGGAGCCUCUCGGGGGUCACCCGGCCGCUGAGCCCGCGGGCCGCACGACGCCGCCGGGGCAGGACACCGAGCCUCAGGCCCGGUCCCUGCGCCCCGCCCGGCCCCCUCCGGGGCUGCUGCGCAGCCCACUCGGCCAUCCUGGCCUGGAGGGGCCGCCCAGGGGCCUCGCGCCAAAGCCUGCGCCUCCCGGAGCCCUCCGGAGCCUUCUCGGGCUUUCCCCCAGGCGUCCUGGACCUUCUGGUGCCUUUCUGGGCCUUGCUGGGCUUCUUGACUCUCCCGGGGCCCUUUCCGAGGCCUCCCGGCCCUUCCCUGGGCCUCUCCAGCCUGAACGCUCCGCGAGGCGGCCAGUAGGCCUCUGGCACCCAGGCCUGGCCCACCCGCCUCCGCCCCACCGCCUGCGCUCAUCAAGCCAGGAGCACUGCCCCGAUGAGCACGCUGGGUUCCAGACCAAUACCUGGGCCAUUGUGACUCUCAGAAUCCCGGGCAAUAAGAGGUCAGAAAGUCCAUUCCACCUCGGCUUGGAGACAGAGGAAAGCUUGCCGGGAGAACAAUUGCAAGCCCCCCCGCCCUCAUGUUCUCGGUUUGUUCUUCUCUGUGACGCCACCGGCCAUCAUGAGAACAGCCAGCAGCAGAUCCAGCGUGAUAAAAUUUUCACUCCUUGACAAGUGUGAGAAACCGAAAAACUAUGCCCAGCCAGAAGUUUUAUGUCACACCUUUGAGGCGCUGUCUAACCUCCACAAGCUGCUUCCCAAUCACCUGGUGGAGAAGCUUUAUUCCUACAAGAGUGAAGAGGACAAGAAAAAAUGUGAGAAUCCUGAACUCUCUGGCUUAGAAAGAAUCUUAGCAAGACAUCAGUUGCCAGAAGAGAUUAAUCUGACCCCAAAGCCGAACAGAAUGCCCCCGUGGAAAAGAAAAAUCAUCAACAAUGUAAAUGAUGCGUGGAAGAAAUGUCACUUACUGAAGAGAAACACGAAUGAGCCUCCCAUGUCCACCAUAGUUGUCAGUAAUACAAUUCCUUCCAUUUUGCUCCCUUGCUAGAUGGCUGAAAAAGAACAUGCAACCCGCUGAAGACCUCAAGUCAGUGAUCUGUAGGCUGUCAGCAUUUGGCCCAAUUCAGUCAGUCACUGUUUGUGGACGUCAAAGUGCUAUAGUGGCAUUCAAAGACAUGACUUCAGCCUGUAAUGCUGUGAGUGCUUUUCAAAGUAGGAUCCCAGGCAACAUGUUCCAGUGUUCCUGGCAACAACGAUUCAUGUCAAAAGAUAAAACUUAUGCAAAAAAAUGUACCCAGAAGACACAGCCGAAGGAAUAUAAGCAGGAAACUGAGAAAACUGCCAACAGCAGCUAAAGGGACACAAACAGUGUCUCCUGAGUAUUUCAGAGUGAUAUGAAAACUGAAUACCUAUUGUGGAAUUUGAUUAGAAUCUGGAACAAUCAGAGUUGGAACAGUGUUCACAACAAAAUGCAAGUUAAUAAGGAAAAAUAAAAUCAGUCAAAUUAGUUAGACUAACGCUUUGAGAAAAAUCUAAAUUCGGUUAAUUUUACUGCAAACCACAUGUAAUCUGCUUAUGGCUGGCAACACUCAAGGAGGAUUCAAAGGCUCUCGGCUUGCUCUGCUUGCCUGACCUCUUGCUUUCUGGGAGCUGACUUACCCUGUCAGAUGCAUACACAACAUCAAAUAGCCCGAGGAUGGUGACAGAGAUGCCGACAGCUGGACCAUUGACCACUGCAAUCAGAGGCUUAGGAAAAUCUAUAAAACAGCCCACAAAUUCCCUAUAGAAAUGGAAACACAAAAUCAUUAAAUGUGCCAAAGCAGCAUGACUGAAGCAUGGGCAAGGCAGUCUGACUCUGAGAUAACAAAGGUUUCUGGCCGGCUGGGUAUUUCCACAGCCACCACGGGCAGUGCCUCCCUGACCGGCCACUUCCCUGGUCUUCCACACCAGAUUCAUCCAGGACAUCCAUUUGAAUGGCGGUGGAUGAAAAACCAAGCAGUGAGACCUACGGGUCAACCCUGGAUCAAAUCUUGUAUUCCGGGCAGUGAGUUCGGGCCGGAAACCAGCAGCAGUCCUGGAGAUUAGGGUGGGCGACUGAGCACACACUGGAAUAUUACAGCAAGUGGGAAUUACAGAUGUGGCAGGAAUAAAGCCUUCAUGACCUCCUCCCGUGUUUUAUAAGUUUCCUCCAAGUCUCCUACUUUCAGCAUUCAUGGAAAUCGUCUAUUCCUCUGGCUGGAUGAGAAUUUGCUAAAUUCCUCUGUCUCAAAGCAGGAUAAUUUUGUUUACAACUACAGCUAACUUUUAUGUUUUCUAGUCAAAUCUCAUGAGAUCAGCAGGAUGAAAAGGUAACAGAGGUCAAAGAGAGAGAAUGAAUGCCCACCUAUGGAUGCAGGCAGCUUGGAGAAAUAUGCUUGUCCAAAGUCACAAUUGAUUGGAUCAACACAGAGAAAUAGAUGUUUCACUUCUGCUCAACUAAAUUCCACGUUGAUGACUAAGAACAGGCCCUCUGCGAUCAGACAAAAGAAAGUCACAGUGCCUUUUGGGUAUAUCAGAACCUACCUGAAGUUCACGAACUAUAAACAAUGAAUAACUCAACUCUGUUGUAUGAAGUAGCCACAGUUACCAACCUUCCUGCAGAAAUCAAACAAGUGAUACAAUAAAAUAGGAAUGAUGCUGAAACUCUACAGCUUUUGCAUGAAACACAUAGAAGAAGGAAAGAAAAACAGGACAAACUCCAAGGGCAGGCUCCACCUGACUAGAGGAUUCCAAUGAAGAACUCAAACUGGACACCAAAUCCACAUAGUUCUGCCGAGCAGUUUCCUGACAGGAAGAUGACAAAUCAGCCUUAGCCCAUGGUCAACGAAUAAGCGCUUUGAGAAAGUUACUAUACUAAUAAAUAGCACCUUGCAAUGAAGAAUAGAAGCACAUCAAGACCUCGAAGCCUCCAUUUAUAACGGCUUAAUGAGAAGCACCAAACUUCUUUAGAAAUACAGCAAAUAAAAGUAGAGUAACUAGUAAAUUCA